Molecule: long non-coding RNA, 289 nt
Filed under: Mytilus galloprovincialis (Mediterranean mussel)
Lineage: Eukaryota; Metazoa; Mollusca; Bivalvia; Mytilida; Mytilidae
Source: RNAcentral
UAGAGAGCCGAAGUGAGGGGUUCCAAAACCAAAGACUACGAAAGUAUCUGAAAUUACAAUGAAGUUAUGAAUGACGGUCGACAAAUGGAAAUAUAAAGGUCACACCCAGCAGGCAGGUUACAGUCUGGUCUUGAAAAAAGUAUUCAAUAUAUAUAAGUCCGGCGAAACAGACAUUCCAGUCAGACAUGCAAACCCCGGCCACAAAAUAAUACGCCCGUUUUUAUUCAUCAUGUUCAUUUCAUGCUAAAUAAUUUUGUUGGAAAUUUUCGUUUUUAAUAGCAAAAACGUG